CUGUCGUCAGCUCGUGUCGUGAGAUGUUGGGUUAAGUCCCGCAACGAGCGCAACCCCUAUUGCUAGUUGCCAUCAUUUAGUUGGGCACUCUAGUGAGACUGCCGGUGUCAAACCGGAGGAAGGUGGGGAUGACGUCAAGUCCUCAUGGCCCUUAUGUCCAGGGCUACACACGUGCUACAAUGGCCGGUACAAAGAGUUGCGAUACCGCGAGGUGGAGCCAAUCUCAAAAAGCCGGUCUCAGUUCGGAUUGGAGUCUGCAACUCGACUCCAUGAAGUUGGAAUCGCUAGUAAUCGCGGAUCAGCACGCCGCGGUGAAUACGUUCCCGGGCCUUGUACACACCGCCCGUCACACCACGGGAGUCGGUUGGUCCCGAAGUGCGUGAGCUAACCCGCAAGGGAGGCAGCGUCCUAAGGAAUGGCCGGUGACUGGGGUGAAGUCGUAACAAGGUAGCCGUAGGGGAACCUGCGGCUGGAUCACCUCCUUU
Molecule: ribosomal RNA, 485 nt
Filed under: Geomonas anaerohicana
Lineage: Bacteria; Pseudomonadati; Thermodesulfobacteriota; Desulfuromonadia; Geobacterales; Geobacteraceae
Description: bacterial SSU rRNA
Rfam family: Bacterial small subunit ribosomal RNA
Source: RNAcentral